RNAcentral lists this ribosomal RNA (224 nucleotides) under uncultured bacterium. RNAcentral's name for it is "partial 16S ribosomal RNA". It matches the Rfam family "Bacterial small subunit ribosomal RNA", at positions 109 to 334 of the family's 1533-position model. The record is from RNAcentral.
AGUAAUGUCUGGGAAACUGCCUGAUGGAGGGGGGUAACUACUGGAAACGGUAGCUAAUACCGCAUAACGUCGCAAGACCAAAGUGGGGGACCGUUCGGGGCCUCAUGCCAUCAGAUGUGCCCAGAUGGGAUUAGCUAGUAGGUGGGGUAACGGCUCACCUAGGCGACGAUCCCUAGCUGGUCUGAGAGGAUGACCAGCCACACUGGAACUGAGACACGGUCCAG